GCGCGAGGCGCGGGCUUCUUCUCCCAUCACAGUGGUUCCCACGGUUGUCUUAGAAACCAGUCUCCGAGGCUUGGCAAAGCAGGAGCCCUCCUUGGCAGUGCUUGGGUGUCGGGGAAACCCCAGGCGGAGUCCGGGGGAAGCAGCACGGCAUCCCAGCCUCAGGCCUGCCCGGACGGUGAUGGUUGGGCUACAUUGAGGCCGGGUGCAGUGGCUCACACCUCUCAUCCCAGUUCUUUGGGAGGCUGAGGCCAGCGGAUCACGAAGUCAGGAGAUCAAGACCAUCCUGGCCAACACAGUGAAACCCUGUCUCUUCAAAUAUACAAAGAAUUAGCCAGAGAAGCAGGGAAUCUGGAAUUUUGGGUGAAAUGUCUGUUUCCAGAAGCUGAAAAUGCUCUCAAAUGGAAAAUUCAGAAUGGCCUUGGGUACUGCACACUUCCUACCAGGAAUAGAAGGCCCCACAGCUAUAGCACCUCUCUUCCUUUUAGUUCUUUGGAAGGAUGAGCAAAUUAUUCACCCUCUCUGAGCCUCAGUUUUCUCAUCCAUAAAAUGAUGACAGUUCACCAACCUGGCAGGUCACAAGGAUGUUAUGAAAUCAGAGUGCAGUGAAUAGAAGACACUUCUCUGCACCCCAAAAGCUCCAUGCUGAUUGUGAGAAGGAAAUGCUGGAUGGAGGGGUUCCUGGAACUACUGUGAGGGAAAUGGUGCGAGAACUUUGGAUGUGGAACGUGGAGGAGGAGGAACACGAAGUGGGGAUCUGCACUUGGGGUGGUCAGCACUGCGGAUGCCCAGCAAAGUCACUGCCUGGUCCACAUCCCGGAGGGGUCUCUGCGCC
Molecule: long non-coding RNA, 832 nt
Filed under: Homo sapiens (human)
Lineage: Eukaryota; Metazoa; Chordata; Mammalia; Primates; Hominidae
Description: family with sequence similarity 182 member B
Source: RNAcentral